CCCAGGUUAAAGACUUUUGCUUUUGAUGUUUUUCAGGAACACAAAAAGCCCAACAGUAUCCAGAAGUGUAAACUGAGCACGGAAGAACAACAGGAGAUAUAGCUACAAUGAAUCUAGGCUUUGUUCUCUAACAAGGGUGGACCCCGCCAAUCAUACAAGCAAGCCUCUGUCCUGCCCUCUAUCCACACAAAGGGUACCAGAUUCUUUAAAAACAACCGGUGCUUUUAGUCUGUCUCAUGCCACAGGCCCAACAUGCAAUUCUUAAAGAUUCCAGAAAAUGAAAUAUAAAAAUACUUUAUACAUCUUAA
Non-coding RNA from Macaca mulatta (Rhesus monkey), 308 nucleotides. NCBI's taxonomy places the organism in Eukaryota, Metazoa, Chordata, Mammalia, Primates, Cercopithecidae. The record is from RefSeq and is a predicted model, not a curated record.